Molecule: ribosomal RNA, 497 nt
Filed under: uncultured bacterium
Lineage: Bacteria
Description: partial 16S ribosomal RNA
Rfam family: Bacterial small subunit ribosomal RNA
Source: RNAcentral
GAUGAACGCUGGCGGCGUGCCUAAUACAUGCAAGUCGAGCGAACGGACGAGAAGCUUGCUUCUCUGAUGUUAGCGGCGGACGGGUGAGUAACACGUGGAUAACCUACCUAUAAGACUGGGAUAACUUCGGGAAACCGGAGCUAAUACCGGAUAAUAUUUUGAACCGCAUGGUUCAAAAGUGAAAGACGGUCUUGCUGUCACUUAUAGAUGGAUCCGCGCUGCAUUAGCUAGUUGGUAAGGUAACGGCUUACCAAGGCAACGAUGCAUAGCCGACCUGAGAGGGUGAUCGGCCACACUGGAACUGAGACACGGUCCAGACUCCUACGGGAGGCAGCAGUAGGGAAUCUUCCGCAAUGGGCGAAAGCCUGACGGAGCAACGCCGCGUGAGUGAUGAAGGUCUUCGGAUCGUAAAACUCUGUUAUUAGGGAAGAACAUAUGUGUAAGUAACUGUGCACAUCUUGACGGUACCUAAUCAGAAAACCACUGCUAACUACGUG